GCCGAGGAAUGAUGACAUAAAAGGCCGAAUUACAGUGCCCCCCUGAGCAGUGAUUUCUCUGUGGGGGGGCAUAAUGACAAAAACCCCUGAAGCGAAAUCUAACUGACCUCGGC
Molecule: small nucleolar RNA, 113 nt
Organism: Hyla sarda
Lineage: Eukaryota; Metazoa; Chordata; Amphibia; Anura; Hylidae
Product: small nucleolar RNA SNORD89
Exons: 1
Source: RefSeq, a predicted model, not a curated record